AGCGAACGCUGGCGGCAGGCCUAACACAUGCAAGUCGAACGAACCUUUCGGGGUUAGUGGCGGACGGGUGAGUAACACGUGGGAACGUGCCUUUAGGUUCGGAAUAACUCAGGGAAACUUGUGCUAAUACCGAAUGUGCCCUUCGGGGGAAAGAUUUAUCGCCUUUAGAGCGGCCCGCGUCUGAUUAGCUAGUUGGUUGAGGUAAUGGCUCACCAAGGCGACGAUCAGUAGCUGGUCUGAGAGGAUGAUCAGCCACAUUGGGACUGAGACACGGCCCAAACUCCUACGGGACGCAGCCGUGGGGGAUCCUGCGCCAUGGGCGAAAGCCUGACGCAUCCAUGCCGGGUGAAUGAUUAAGGUCUUAGGAUUGUAAAAUUUUUUCAUCGGGGACGAUAAUGACGGUACCCGGAGAAGAAGCCCCGGCUAACUUCGUG
This 434-nucleotide ribosomal RNA is filed under the name uncultured bacterium. RNAcentral describes it as "partial 16S ribosomal RNA". It matches the Rfam family "Bacterial small subunit ribosomal RNA", at positions 29 to 507 of the family's 1533-position model. The record is from RNAcentral.